GUCCUUUAGAUUUCAUAAUUUAAGGUCUAACCUGCCCAUUGAAAAUUUUAAAAGGCCGCAGUAUUUUGACUGUGCAAAGGUAGCAUAAUCAUUAGUUUUUUAAUUAAAAGCUUGUAUGAAUGGUUGGACGAGAUAAAAUCUGUCUUUUAUUAAAAAUUAGAAUUUAAUUUUUAAGUUAAAAAGCUUACAUUUAAGUAAAAGACGAGAAGACCCUAUAGAUCUUUAUAAAAUUUUUUAGGAUAUUAAUUAAGAUUAGUUAAUUUAUUAUAAAAAAUUUUAUUUUAUUGGGGUAAUAAAAAGAUUAAAAAAAUUCUUUUUUAUGAAAUAUAAAUAAAUAGAUUUUUGAUCCAUUAUUAAUGAUAAUAAGAUUAAGUUACCUUAGGGAUAACAGCGUAAUUUUUUUAGAGAGUUCAUAUCGAUAAAAAAGAUUGCGACCUCGAUGUUGGAUUAAAAUUAAUUCUAGGUGUAGAAGUUUAGAAGAUAGGUCUGUUCGACCAUUUAAUUUUU
Molecule: ribosomal RNA, 507 nt
Filed under: Neoporus undulatus
Lineage: Eukaryota; Metazoa; Arthropoda; Insecta; Coleoptera; Dytiscidae
Description: partial 16S ribosomal RNA
Rfam family: Bacterial large subunit ribosomal RNA (bases 384-507)
Source: RNAcentral